AGUGAACGCUGGCGGCGUGCUUAACACAUGCAAGUCGAACGAGAACGGAUUAUAGCUUGCUAUAAUUGUCAGCUAAGUGGCGCACGGGUGAGUAAUGUAUAGGUAAUGUGCCUCUUACUAAGGGAUAACAAUUGGAAACGAUUGCUAAUACCUUAUAUUCCUUUUUAUCAAAAGAUAAAAAGGGAAAGAUUUAUUGGUAAGAGAUUAGCCUGUAUUGUAUCAGUUAGUUGGUGGGGUAAUGACCUACCAAGACGAUGACGCAUAACUGGUUUGAUGGGAUAAUCAGUCACGCUGGAACUGAGACACGUUCCAGACUCCUACGGGAGGCAGCAGUGGGGAAUAUUGCACAAUGGACGAAAGUCUGAUGCAGCAACGCCGCGUGGAGGAUGACACAUUUCGGUGCGUAAACUCCUUUUAUAUAAGAAGAUAAUGACGGUAUUAUAUGAAUAAGCACCGGCUAACUCCGUGCCAGCCGCCGCAGUAA
RNAcentral lists this ribosomal RNA (484 nucleotides) under uncultured bacterium. RNAcentral describes it as "partial 16S ribosomal RNA". It matches the Rfam family "Bacterial small subunit ribosomal RNA", at positions 29 to 523 of the family's 1533-position model. The record is from RNAcentral.